GUCCUUGAAGGUUGCCUCAUCUAACAACACAAACUCAGUGCUGGCAGUUGUAUAGUAAUCAAAAUGUGUGGUAAAGUUCUUCUUGCACGUUUCUUCAAGUAUUUUACAUGAGGGGAUUGCCGAAACUGCUUGUAAAAUAGGACAGACUGUAUCCUGCAACAAACUUUCAGAUGUUAGACAAGAUCUAACAACUUCUCCAAAAUCUUCAGAGGCCUUGUCCAUUAA
This 225-nucleotide unclassified non-coding RNA is filed under the name Hevea brasiliensis (rubber tree). Lineage: Eukaryota; Viridiplantae; Streptophyta; Magnoliopsida; Malpighiales; Euphorbiaceae. The record is from RNAcentral.